AUGGAGGCGCUCUACCUGCUGGCGUCCCUGGCCACCACCCUCCUCACCUCCACCCUGCUCUCCCUGCUGCUCCUCCUCCGCCUCCCCUUCGCUCGCCGUUCCGCUCGAGGUGGUGGCGGCGCCGGCGCCACGCGGCUCUACGAGGGCCGCGUCCGGCACUCGCGCCGGCGGCCGGCGGGGCACGCCUUCGAGUACGCCGUGCGCUACGCCCUCGUGGACCUCGACCUCCUCCCCCUCUCCGGCUACCUCUCCGCCGCCGACGCCCGCCGCAUCGCCUCCACCUCCGGACCCGUGCGUCUCCUGACGGUACCCAAGAGCGUGGGGUACGAACAGAACCCACUCAGCGUCUACUACUGCUAUGACGCAGCGGCGCAAGAACAAGAUGAACACCUCAAGAUGUGCAUUGCUGAAGUCACAAAUACUCCCUGGGGGGAGAAGGUGAUGUUUACCUUCCAACCGGGUUCUGAUCUCGUUGCAAAGCCUUUACAUGUCAGCCCCUUCAUGGAUAUGCUUGGCAAUUGGAGUAUUCGUGCUGAUGCCCCAGGCAAUAAUCUGUACGUUGCUAUUGCGGUUCAGCAUCCUACACUUGGGAACUAUUUUACUGCAGCUUUGGAUGCCAAGUUAGUUGGCCACACAAAUGACUCGGUUAAGCUAGCAACAUUCUUCUGGCUGAUGCCUCAUAAGGUUGCCGCAGGGAUAUACUGGGAGGCCUUCAGGCUUUGGUUGAAGAAUGUGAGAUUCCUAGACCAUCCGAGGUACCUGAGCGGGAGCUACAGGUCCGAAGCUCUGAAGCGCGACCUUGAGAUCCGUUCCUCCUGCAGCUUCCUGCAUCAGAAACUGAGAGAGAGCAUUGGAAGAAGCGGCACAGCAACAACCUAUGAAACAGCAGAAAACUCAAACCAUCAGGAUUACAAAGAUGGCGGAGGGAGCAUCGGGGCGAGGUGGUGCGUCUGGAGGGAUGCUCAAUGGCCAUGGUGCUGA
Molecule: ribosomal RNA, 981 nt
Filed under: Triticum aestivum (bread wheat)
Lineage: Eukaryota; Viridiplantae; Streptophyta; Magnoliopsida; Poales; Poaceae
Description: partial small subunit ribosomal RNA
Source: RNAcentral